This 432-nucleotide ribosomal RNA is filed under the name uncultured cyanobacterium. RNAcentral describes it as "bacterial SSU rRNA". It matches the Rfam family "Bacterial small subunit ribosomal RNA", at positions 368 to 817 of the family's 1533-position model. The record is from RNAcentral. Lineage: Bacteria; Bacillati; Cyanobacteriota.
GCAAUGGGCGCAAGCCUGACGGAGCAAUACCGCGUGAGGGAGGAAGGCUUUUGGGUCGUAAACCUCUUUUAUUGGGGAAGAAGCACUGACGGUACCCAAUGAAUCAGCCACGGCUAACUCCGUGCCAGCAGCCGCGGUAAUACGGAGGAUGCAAGCGUUAUCCGGAAUUAUUGGGCGUAAAGCGUCCGCAGGUGGUUAAUCAAGUCUGCUGUUAAAGCGUGCGGCUUAACCGCAUAUCGGCAGUGGAAACUGGUUGACUAGAGUUCGGUAGGGGUCACGGGAAUUCCCAGUGUAGCGGUGAAAUGCGUAGAUAUUGGGAAGAACACCAGCGGCGAAAGCGCGUGACUGGGCCUGAACUGACACUGAGGGACGAAAGCUAGGGGAGCGAAAGGGAUUAGAUACCCCUGUAGUCAUUGGGGAAUUUUCCGCAAU